AACGCGAAGAACCUUACCAGGGCUUGACAUCCCUCUGACGCCGUUAGAGAUAAUGGUUCCCUUCGGGGCAGAGGAGACAGGUGGUGCAUGGUUGUCGUCAGCUCGUGUCGUGAGAUGUUGGGUUAAGUCCCGCAACGAGCGCAACCCUUGAUCUGUGUUACCAGCACGUAGAGGUGGGGACUCACAGGUGACUGCCGGCGUAAGUCGGAGGAAGGCGGGGAUGACGUCAAAUCAUCAUGCCCUUUAUGUCCUGGGCUACACACGUGCUACAAUGGGCGGUACAACGGGAAGCGAAGCCGCGAGGUGGAGCGAAACCUAAAAAGCCGUUCGUAGUUCGGAUUGCAGGCUGCAACUCGCCUGCAUGAAGCCGGAAUUGCUAGUAAUCGCGGAUCAGCAUGCCGCGGUGAAUCCGUUCCCGGGCCUUGUACACACCGAUAGC
Molecule: ribosomal RNA, 439 nt
Filed under: uncultured bacterium
Lineage: Bacteria
Description: bacterial SSU rRNA
Rfam family: Bacterial small subunit ribosomal RNA
Source: RNAcentral